UACGUAGGGUGCAAGCGUUAAUCGGAAUUACUGGGCGUAAAGCGUGCGCAGGCGGUGAUGUAAGACAGUUGUGAAAUCCCCAGGCUCAACCUGGGAACUGCAUCCGAUACUGGAUGGCUUGAAUUCGGGAGAGGGAUGCAGAAUUCCAGGUGUAGCGGUGAAAUGCGUAGAUAUCUGGAGGAAUACCGGUGGCGAAGGCGGCAUCCUGGACCGACAUUGACGCUGAGGAGCGAAAGCCAGGGGAGCAAACGGG
This 253-nucleotide ribosomal RNA is filed under the name uncultured bacterium. RNAcentral's name for it is "partial 16S ribosomal RNA". It matches the Rfam family "Bacterial small subunit ribosomal RNA", at positions 524 to 776 of the family's 1533-position model. The record is from RNAcentral.